UAAACGACUCUCGGCAACGGAUAUCUCGGCUCACGCAUCGAUGAAGAACGUAGCAAAAUGCGAUACUUGGUGUGAAUUGCAGAAUCCCGUGAACCAUCGAGUUUUUGAACGCAAGUUGCGCCCGAAGCCUUCUGGUUGAGGGCACGUCUGCCUGGGUGUCACGC
RNAcentral lists this ribosomal RNA (164 nucleotides) under Layia discoidea. RNAcentral's name for it is "5.8S ribosomal RNA". It matches the Rfam family "5.8S ribosomal RNA". Rfam says of the family: 5.8S ribosomal RNA (5.8S rRNA) is a component of the large subunit of the eukaryotic ribosome. It is transcribed by RNA polymerase I as part of the 45S precursor that also contains 18S and 28S rRNA. Functionally, it is thought that 5.8S rRNA may be involved in ribosome translocation. The record is from RNAcentral. Lineage: Eukaryota; Viridiplantae; Streptophyta; Magnoliopsida; Asterales; Asteraceae.